CCUACGGGAGGCAGCAGUGGGGAAUAUUGGGCAAUGGAGGAAACUCUGACCCAGCGACGCCGCGUGCGGGAUGAAGGCCUUCGGGUUGUAAACCGCUUUCAGUAGGGAAGAAGCGAAAGUGACGGUACCUACAAAAGAAGCACCGGCUAACUAUGUGCCAGCAGCCGCGGUAAUACAUAGGGUGCAAGCGUUGUCCGGAAUUAUUGGGCGUAAAGAGCUCGUAGGUCGUUUGUUACGUCGGAUGUGAAAACCUGAGGCUCAACCUCAGGCCUGCAUUCGAUACGGGCAAACUAGAGUUUGGUAGGGGAGACUGGAAUUCCUGGUGUAGCGGUGGAAUGCGCAGAUAUCAGGAGGAACACCAAUGGCGAAGGCAGGUCUCUGGGCCAAUACUGACACUGAGGAGCGAAAGUCUGGGGAGCGAACAGGAUUAGAUACCCUGGUAGUCCAGACCGUAAACGGUGGGCACUAGUUGUGGGAACCUUCCACGGUUUCUGCGACGCAGCUAACGCAUUAAGUGCCCGCCUGGGGAGUACGAUCGCAAGAUUAAAACUCAAAGGAAAUUGAACGGCUGAGAGUGCGAGNGACACAGGAGAG
Molecule: ribosomal RNA, 594 nt
Filed under: uncultured bacterium
Lineage: Bacteria
Description: bacterial SSU rRNA
Rfam family: Bacterial small subunit ribosomal RNA
Source: RNAcentral